Long non-coding RNA from Aethalodelphis obliquidens (Pacific white-sided dolphin), 3603 nucleotides. RefSeq lists it as uncharacterized. NCBI's taxonomy places the organism in Eukaryota, Metazoa, Chordata, Mammalia, Artiodactyla, Delphinidae. The transcript has 3 exons. The record is from RefSeq and is a predicted model, not a curated record.
UAGAGAAAGCCCGCACGCAGCAACGAAGACCCAACGUAGCCAGAAACAGUAAAUAAAUAAAUAAAUUUAUUUAAAGAAGAAAUGACUGAGGCAGGUCUGAGACCAGAGCUGUCUGCUCAGCCUGCACCUCCCUGCCCCCACAUCACUGAACACACACGUCCAGGGCAACAGGGCCCCACCCCACUUCACAGAUGAGGUAACUGAGGCACAGGGGGAGGGGCCAGCUCAAGGUCCCACCGUAAAGCUGGGAUUCAAGCCCAGGUUGGGCCGGGCCUCCCGAGCUCGGCCCUCCACCCACCGAGCCCCCGUCUGCAUCUCAACGGCCCGGGUGGGCCUGCAGCAGGUGCUGGGCCAGCAGUGUCCCUUUGUGAGCCCGGGGUAUUGUCCCCUGGACAAAGCCCUCAAUUCCCACUAACGGCCACCCACACGCUCACUUCUAAGGAUAAAGGAAUCUGCAGCCAGCCGCCCCCCAGCUCCAGAUGGCGGCCCCCGCCCGUCUGCUUCCCUCCUGACCCUCUGACUCUGCGCCCACCCCGCAUCAGGCCGGGCUGCUGCACUGGGGCGGAAGAAAAGAGGUGGCCCUCCAAGGCCUCAUCUUUGUGUCCUCAGCAUGGUGGCCGGCCCAGUGAGCUGCCCUACGCCUCCCUCCCCGCCAUCCAUCCCAGCCUUUUCAUCCUUCCCAGGCAAGACACAAAGCCACAGAGGCGGCCCCUCCUCCGGCUCCAGCUGAGCUAGCUUUUCUGUCUUCUGGGCGUUGGAGCCCAGCCCCUGCCCAGCAGUGCUGGCCCCAGGCAGCUGCCCAGGUGUCUUAAAGGCCCAGCUUCUCCUCCGUGGCGCAGGGCAGAGAAAUGGCUGAGACACGGGGCUUCAAGAGAAUCUAGUCACCGGGUGGAGGAUGGUUCCCCUCGAAGCAGGAUCAGGCCAUUGGACCACUCAGGGCUCGCCUGGUGCUGGACUCCCGCACGCCCAUGCCCUUUCUGCCAAGACGUUUUUGAGGCUGCAUCCAUCCAUAUGCUUGUUGGUCCGUUCACUUGUUUAUUCACCAUCUUACUGGGAGCCCUGGGCCUGCUGCUGGGCCAAACAACGUCAAGACAUCGUGCUUCCCUAGGAGGGCUCAUGGGCUGGGCCAGGAGGCCAGUAAUCCGGAUCCUUUUGGCCCAUCCUCCCAGCAGGUUCUGAAGCACUGAGACAGGCAAGGUUGGUGACGGUGCAGAGUGCCCCCAGCUACCCCAAAGCGUUCAGCAGCCUGGGAGAGCUGACUCUGAGACAAGCCUGUCCUGCGCUUAAGCAGGCUUCCUUCCGGGCCCUCCACUCAGAGAUUCUCCAGUUGCCACAGGUUCCUGGUCAGGAUGGUGGAUUGAGGUGCUAUGGGAAGCUCUCUUUCUAUGUACAAACACACAGAAGUGCUGGACAGAAUAUAACCAUUUAAAAUAAUCCAGUCAAGGUCAAAACCAAAAAGGUAGGGGCAGCCACGUGACGCAGUUCUGGCCAAGUUGAUGGAGGUACAAGUUCUGGCGGGAGAAGGUGAGGGAGCCUCUCCCUGAAUAGAAUGGCAAAGCUCACUAGAAGAAAAUCCUUCCCACCCCCAAUAUCACUGGUCCUUCUUAUGCCUGGACAGCAGACAUGAGGCCUGGAGGCGCAGCAGCCAUCUUGUAACCAUGAGUCAGCAACAAAAAAGGUAAAGUGGAAAGACAGAAAGAACACAGGCUGUGGGGGCAGACAGACCUUCCUUUUCCACUUUCUGGCUGUGUGGCCUUGGGUACGUCACUUAACUUCUCGGAGCCUCACUUCCCACAACCUGUAAGAUGGGGAUAAAACCUCUCCCUUGAACAGUCCUUGUGAGGAUUAAAUACUGUGUUGAGUAUGGAUCCACUUUUUCUCCUGUAAAGAGCUAUCCCAAUGUUUGGAGUUAUUUUUACAAUCAUGCUGUGACAACUACUUUAGAGCAAAAGAAAGAAGAGACCCUUUAUUUCUCCUCUUGGAGAAAGUUCCAAGGCGGGAUACGGGCCUCGAGCCAAUGGGCCCUGCUCUUUGGCCGAUCAGCUAUGCAAACAGGAAGUGACUGUCCAAACAUUUGGAGCUGCAGAAGGCUAGCCCAGAGCCGGCCUCCUCUCUCCACCGUGGUGCGUCCUCGUCUCCCCGCUGGGAGCACCUCAAAAGUCAAGGACAUGGUUCCCCAGAUGAGGAACUAGGUUCAGAGCCACCCCUUCUGGCUGCCCUGCCCACCAGUCUGGGCCAGACCGCCUGCCUUUCGGGCUGAAGUCGGACGGCAGCCUCUUGCCCGGCUCCCACUGUCUUCUGCCCUUCCCCUCUCCUUCCAUCUCUUUGUCACAGCUGUAGUCAGGGUGAUUUUUUUGCAGUGCAAGUCUGUUCCUGUCGCCCCCUUGCUAGAACUUUCCCAUGGCUUCAUGCUCUCUCGGGGGAAAGGCCGAAGACCUCGUCACAGCCAUUGGGGUUGGCCUGGCCUCGGCCUGCCUCUCCAGCUCUACCCCUCCAGCUGCUGUUUUAGCUGCUGGACCGGGCCAAGGCCCCUCCUGCCUCUGCGCUUGGCCCACACUGUUCCCGUUUUCUAGCACGCUCUCCCCCCUCCCCCUCCCUGGCCCAUCUCGCCAGGUAACGUCCCACCCUCAGCACUGCACUCCCGGGUCAGGUGUGCAGGCGCUGGCUGAGCCUGCAGCAGGCACGCCGAGGGCCCUGCUCUCCCUGACAGCAGGCAGCCAGCUGUUGCCACACGUACGCUCACGUGGGGACCUCACGCACUCACGAGUGCUGCUCGGGGUGAGGACUGCGGAAUGUCUUGUUCAGAAUGACACCCCCUGUGGCUGGCAUAGUCCCUGUGCAGAGCUGGUGCUCAGUAAAUGUGGAAGGCAGGCAGGCCGGGUGCCUUGUGGUUUGAAAGGGAGGGAGCUCUGUUUACCGAGCACCUAAGUGAGCCAGGCAGGGCCUCACUGCCUCUUCACAGCCUCCCUGGCAGGCAGGGGCCCCAAGCUCUGUUCCAUCCAAGAGGAAACAGGGACUCUGAGGGGGGCCAUGACUUGCCCAAAGUCACACAUCUGUCAGAGGCCCUGCCAGGACUUGAACCUUGGUCCCGAGCCCAGCUUCCUACCCUGGUGGAGCUAGCACAAGGGAUCACUGUGCAUCUGUUUCCUCACCUGGAGAAUGGGGACAUAACGGUACCUACCUCACAGGUCUGGUGGCUGUGAGGACUCAGUGAGGUUAAGUGCUUAGUCAGGUUAAGUGCUUAGCUCAGAGCCUGGCACACCUUAGGUGCUCGGUAAGUGUUAGCUGUUAUCAUCUUUGUUAUUGCACGGAUCAAAGAACAAAUAAGAACAAAUCUAUCGUAUUACCCCCAGCGAAUAGGCAAACGGAGGGGCUUUAUGGGUAAACAGGCCCACGGAUGGAUGGGUGGGCGAAUACCUGAAGACGUGAACAACACGGGGACGAGUUGAGGGGAGGAAAGCGCACCUGAGGUUCAGGAGAACGGGAGCUGAUCUGGGGCACCCGGGCCGCCGGCUCACCUGUAGCGCCGCAGCUCGCCCUCCAGCCGCCGCACCCAGCGCUGCAGGCCGGGCACCUGCCGCGCCAGCGCCUCGAGCUCGCGCA